ACGCUGGCGGCGUGCCUAAUACAUGCAAGUCGAGCGAACCAAUUGAAAGCCUAGCUUUCAUGAGGUUAGCGGCGGACGGGUGAGUAACACGUGGGUAACCUGCCCUAUAGACUGGGAUAACUCGCGGAAACGCGUGCUAAUACCGGAUAACACAUCAAAGUGCAUGCUUUGAUGUUGAAAGAUGGUUCUGCUAUCACUAUAGGAUGGGCCCGCGGCGCAUUAGCUUGUUGGUGGGGUAACGGCCUACCAAGGCGACAAUGCGUAGCCGACCUGAGAGGGUGAUCGGCCACACUGGGACUGAAACACGGCCCAAACUCCUACGGGAGGCAGCAGUAGGGAAUCUUCCACAAUGGGCGAAAGCCUGAUGGAGCAACCCCCCGUGAGCGAAGAAGGUUUUCGGAUCG
RNAcentral lists this ribosomal RNA (404 nucleotides) under Ureibacillus thermosphaericus. RNAcentral describes it as "bacterial SSU rRNA". It matches the Rfam family "Bacterial small subunit ribosomal RNA", at positions 33 to 425 of the family's 1533-position model. The record is from RNAcentral. Lineage: Bacteria; Bacillati; Bacillota; Bacilli; Caryophanales; Caryophanaceae.